CCUACGGGUGGCAGCAGUAGGGAAUAUUGCUCAAUGGGGGAAACCCUGAAGCAGCAACGCCGCGUGGAGGAUGAAGGUUUUCGGAUUGUAAACCCCUUUUGUUAGAGAAGAUAAUGCCGGUAUCUAACGAAUAAGCACCGGCUAAAUACGUGCCAGCAGCCGCGGUACUACGGAGGGAGCAAGCGUUACUCGGAGUCACUGGGCGUAAAGAGCGCGUAGGCGGGAUAGCAAGUCAGACGGGAAAUCCUAGGGCUUAACCACAGAAGAGCAGUUGAAACUGUUAUACUAGAGUAGGGGAGAGGUAGGUGGAAUGCUUGGUGUAGCGGUGAAAUGCGUAGAGAUCGCGAGGAAUACUGAUUGCGAAGGCAGCGUACUGGAGCAAGACUGACGCUGAGGCACGAAAGCGUGGGGAUCGAACAGGAUUAGAUACCCGGGUAGUC
This 440-nucleotide ribosomal RNA is filed under the name uncultured bacterium. RNAcentral's name for it is "partial 16S ribosomal RNA". It matches the Rfam family "Bacterial small subunit ribosomal RNA", at positions 338 to 795 of the family's 1533-position model. The record is from RNAcentral.